AUCUACAGCGAAGCCACCCUGAACACGCCCAAUCUCGUCUGAUCUCAGAAACUAAGCAAGGUCAGGCCUGGUUAGUACUUGGAUGGGAGACCACAUAGGAAUAUCAGGUGCUGUAGGCU
RNAcentral lists this ribosomal RNA (119 nucleotides) under Pteropus alecto (black flying fox). The record is from RNAcentral. Lineage: Eukaryota; Metazoa; Chordata; Mammalia; Chiroptera; Pteropodidae.